This 253-nucleotide ribosomal RNA is filed under the name uncultured bacterium. Its description in RNAcentral is "partial 16S ribosomal RNA". It matches the Rfam family "Bacterial small subunit ribosomal RNA", at positions 524 to 776 of the family's 1533-position model. The record is from RNAcentral.
UACAGAGGGUGCAAACGUUGUUCGGAAUUACUGGGCGUAAAGCGCGUGCAGGCGGCCUUGCAAGUCGGACGUGAAAUCCCACGGCUCAACCGUGGAAGUGCAUUCGAAACUGCGAGGCUGGAGUCCUGGAGAGGAAAGUGGAAUACUCGGUGUAGUGGUGAAAUGCGUAGAUAUCGGGAGGAACACCAGUGGCGAAGGCGACUUCCUGGCCUGUUCUUGACGCUGAGGCGCGAAAGCUAGGGGAGCAAACGGG